Molecule: ribosomal RNA, 659 nt
Filed under: Gyranthera caribensis
Lineage: Eukaryota; Viridiplantae; Streptophyta; Magnoliopsida; Malvales; Malvaceae
Description: eukaryotic LSU rRNA
Rfam family: 5.8S ribosomal RNA (bases 289-444)
Source: RNAcentral
CCCGCCCGAUGGAACGACCCGCGAACUCGUUAACAAACCAUCGCGGGGGGGCGAGGACGCAUCCGUGCCCCGAGCCCCCUCCRUGCCCCUGCGCGCGUGACCCCGCCUCGCCUCGCCCCCCGGGCGGGCGAKGGGCUCGGUCUCGUCGCUCGUGGCAAGAACAACGAACCCCCGGCGCGAGUCGCGCCAAGGAAUCGGAAGGAUAAAGAGCGCGUCCGACGCCGCCGACCCGUUCCCGGUGUUCGCGCGGGCGGAGACGCCGCUUCUUUUGUCGCGAAAACGCUAAACGACUCUCGGCAACGGAUAUCUCGGCUCUCGCAUCGAUGAAGAACGUAGCGAAAUGCGAUACUUGGUGUGAAUUGCAGAAUCCCGUGAACCAUCGAGUCUUUGAACGCAAGUUGCGCCCCAAGCCAUUAGGCCGAGGGCACGUCUGCCUGGGUGUCACGCAUCGUCGCCCCCUCCGACGUUAUUUCGGACGUUGCGGGGGCGGAAAAUGGCCUCCCGUGCGCUCCUCGCUCGCGGUUGGCCCAAAAAUCGAGUCCUCGGCGACGAAGGCGCCGCGACGAUCGGUGGUACGCUCCGAGCGUUCCUCGUACCCCGUCGCUCGUGCUUCCGUUCGCGAAAGGACCCCUCGAGACCCUUUUCGCGUCGCGACCCCA